GUGCUUGCUUCGCCAGCACAUAUACUAAAAUUGGAACCAUACAGAGAAGAUUAGCAUGACCUCUGCACAAGGAUGACAUGCAAAUUCGUGAAGAUUCCAUAUUUUU
This is a small nuclear RNA of Tupaia belangeri (northern tree shrew), 106 nucleotides long. The record is from Ensembl. Lineage: Eukaryota; Metazoa; Chordata; Mammalia; Scandentia; Tupaiidae.